Molecule: non-coding RNA, 2080 nt
Organism: Leptonychotes weddellii (Weddell seal)
Lineage: Eukaryota; Metazoa; Chordata; Mammalia; Carnivora; Phocidae
Source: RefSeq, a predicted model, not a curated record
UGAUGAAGGCUGUGGUCUUUAACAUCCUCGUGACCAAUUCAGUUUUUCCUGAGAGCCUUUCGUAAAAAAAUAGACAUCUGUACGUGUGUGAUUGUCGCGGCAGGUGCGUCAGCUGGCCACGGUGCGCCGGUAUUCGGCGGUGCCGUCGGCUAUGACGGCGUCCAGGGGAGAGCGCUUCUUCCGGAUGCUGCGCCCGGAGGAGAUGAGGUCGGCGUAGCCGCGCUGGUGCGAGAAGGCGUAGGCCGAGCGCCGCGAAGACACGCCCCGGCGGAACACGCGCUGCCGCCGCUUCCACUGCUCCUCGGCUUUCAACCGCUUGCGGUGCUUCUGAAUCUGCAGAACCGGAGAGAGGGGCCAGGCUGACGAGGACCUCGCAGUUUGCAGAUAAGCUCCCAGAGGUAUGAAGAAGAGGAUCAUCGAUGUUAAAAUUCCAUGCACCAGGCUUACAAAGAACUUCUUAUAGUUGAAUAGUGCCCAGUCCGUCCUGAAGUGUCCCGUCAGCCCGAGGCUCCUACCUGGUCAAGCAGCCCCACGAGGAGCACGGGCAGGCUGGAGUACAGCACGUUGUAGAGCGUGAUGAACCAGUCUUCGUACGCAGUCUGUGAGGAGAUUACAGAGUCGCCGUGUCACAAACCAAGACCUAUUGCCCGCCUAGUCAACAUGCAUUCAUCUCUUUCGGAGUGGGGAAGGCCCCAGGCUGUGUGCAGCUUCUGCCAGAGUAAACACCCCUCAUCUGCAUCUGCCCAAGAGUACCCAUUGAAGAAGGAGUACCAGAAAUGAACCAAAGUAAAUGCAAAGUUUUUAUAAAAGAAGUAUCGUAGGAACUUGCACAUCCUUAUGUAAGACCACCGGCCAUGUACCAGCAACAGUCUCUGCAAGUAUCUGAACUGGGCAAAGGAGUAGUCACUUGACAUGACAGCUUGCAUGCCUUCUUGUCCACUUAUUCCAACACCAAUGUGGGCAGCUGUGGGACAGAGGGAGAAGAUAUGUGAAUCGUAAGCUAAUUUUAAGGCGAAAUAUUUAAGUGAUAAAAAUGUUUCCACAGCAAAACAAAGAAACACAUUCAUGGAACAAUAUAUGUGAAAACUCUCUCUCACCAGCCCCACCCCAGCUUCUGAACUCAAUGUCAGAGAUACAAGUUGCUCAAAAGAGCACAUGCUGGGGCCUCCAAAAGGUAUUUGUGGAAGGAUCUCAGGUGGGUGGUGAAUUCCAUUUGGAUUAUCUGCCCAGCUGAUAGGCCAUCCUUCCCGCCCACGGGGUUAAUCCAAGGAGUCUAUGCAGACUGUGCGUUCCUGCCUCCCUGGCCACAGCUGAGUCAGCUGCUAUUGGCAGAUACUACAAAUUGGCCCUCCCAACUUUCAUUCCACCCUUGUUCUACUGGAAAGGUGGGAAAGCACAUAAAAACCUUACAUUGCUCAGACUCCCUUGCACUAGGUUCUGUUGGUGAAUUGGGUUUCAUUGUUAGGAGCCACUUGAAGUUUCCGGAAGUAGAAGCGAACUGGGGCCCAGCACCCCUUCCCUUUUUGGCAUUUCUUCAGCAGAGUUCGUAUGCUCUCCCCAGCUGCCUGGAUGCUGACAGACAAAAGCUCAACUGAAAAGCCCUUCACAGGAGUCUCAAAGCUAGAAGCUCCUCUGGUGAGUGACUAAGAUGUUAGAGACUCGGGCUAGCACCUACUUUCUUCAGCCCAUCCAGAGCUUUCAUGAGCACCUAGUCCCCUGUAUUAAUCACUUCCUGCUUAAAGUACCCAACGGGGUCUGUAUCUUGUACUAACUGACUGAAAACCCAAGCUGGGGCAAUCAGUGUCUCUUUCACAUUUUGGAAUUAAGAUUCGGGCAUGUUUGUGUUUGGAAUUUUAACCUAUACAUUCUUGAGCUGUGGGACAGAUAUAUUUUUUUUCUCAGGGGUUCUGAGGGGCAGAGAAGUAAAGUCAUCUAGAAAGAGGGAGAAACCAGAAGCUGGGGUCCUGGUGCAGCUCCAGGUCCUGGUUCUAGCAUCUUCCUGAGGCGUGGCUUCUUAGGAGGCACAAAACAUCUUUUUUUUUUUUUAAAUUUGGGAGAGCAGGAGUGGAGGGGAGAGGCA